GGAAUCUGUGACUGCCUUGACUAAUAGAGCACAGCCAAAGCGAGGCUAUGCCAGUUCCCAGCACGGCUCUGACCUAAACUGGAAGUGUCUGUCUCUUACUUCAUGGAGCAUUCACUCUUGGAACUGUUGUGCUUAGAACCCAGCCACCAUGCUAUGAGCCAAGUGAAGCUCACAAUAGUUAAGAAAUGAGCCCACUGCAAAGAGCAAAAGGCAAAGUCUAAACUUGAACUUGAAUGAUCUUGCUCCUCUGAUCGUACAGCUACACUCUUCUCCUGCUGUCUCCUGAAAGUCAUCAUCAAAUUGGAAGCACAGUAAUGGGCCACUCAUCAGGGAUUUUUGAUUAAUGGAUAUGGAUGUGGAACUGAAGAAUAAAGAUGUCUCAUUGCUUGAAAUUUGGGGAGACCAAAGAGGAAGAAGGACUGGAUACAUGAAGGGAAAAUAAUAUGGCAAUUAAAAGUUAAAGUUAAGUCACACUUCUUUCCUUAUCUUAUUAUGUGGCCUUUAGAAAGUCACAGAAACUCUUAAGAGUCUUAGUGUCCCCAUUUAUGAAACAGUGAUCAUAAUAUUUGCCUCAUAUGGAUUUUUUUGAGGACCAAAAUAAGAUAAUUGAAAGUAAAGUUUUUCAUGGGACAUACACAUGGAAAGGAGCCCACUGUAUGAGAUAAUUGUAUUUAUAUGGGUUUGUCUUAGUGUCCUCUAUUCUGUACCAUUGGUCUACAAGUCUAUUUUGGUGCCAAUACUGUUUUUGUUACUAUAGCUCUCUGUAGUAUAGUUUAAGAUCUGGUAUUGUGAUGCCUCCUGCUUCACUUUUCUUGCUAUGGAUUGCUUUAGCUAUUCUGAUUCUAUGAAGAAUCGUGCUCUUGGUAGUAUGGCCAUUUUGACAAUAUUAAUUCUUCCUAUUCAGGAGCAUGGGAGAUCUUUCCAUUUUCUAAAGUUUUCUUCAAUUUCUUUCUUUAGUGUUCUGUAGUUUUUAUUUAGAGGUCUUUCACCUCUUUUGUUAAAUCGGUUCCAAGGUUUUUUGUUUGGUUUUGUUUUUUUUUUUUUUUUUUGAGGCUUUUGUGAAUGGAGUAGUUUUCCUAAUUUCUCUUUCAGUGGAUUAAAGAUAGCUUAUUUCACAAAUGGUACUGGCAAAACUGGAAAUCCAUAUGUAGCAAGAGGAAAUUAAAACUCUGUCUCUCAUCCUGCACAAAAAUCAACUCAAAGUGGAUCAAAGAUUUAGACACUCAAACAGACCCUGCACCUAAUAGAAGAAAAAAUAGGGCCAAAUCCUCACCACGUCAGACGAGGCUCUGACUUCCUUAACAGGACUCCUAAAGCACAAGAAGUAAAAUCAAGAAUUAAUAAAUGGGAUGGAUUCAAAUUAAAAAGCUUCUUCUCAGCAAAGGAAACAAUUAAUAGCAUGAGGAGAGAGCCUACAGAUUGGGAGAAAAUCUUUACCACAUGCACCUUUGAUAAAGCAUUAAUCUCCAGGAUGUAUAAAGAACUCAAAAAACUUAACACCAACCAACAAACAAGCAAACAAACAAACAAACAAAAAAAACCAAAUAGCCCAAUCAAUAAAAUGGGCUAAGGAACUGAACAGACACCUCACAGAAGAAGAAAUACAAUUACUCUAGCAAUUAGAGAAAUGCAAAUCAAAACUACUCUAAGAUUUCAUCUCACUCCUGUCAGAGUGGCAAUCACCAAGAGUACAGGCAACAAUAAAUGUUGGCAAGGAUAUGGGGAAAAAGGCACACUCAUACAUUGCUGGUGGGACUGCAAAUUGGUGCAACCACUAUGGAAAGCAGUAUGGAGAUUCCUCAGAAAACUUGGAAUGGAACCACCAUUUGAUCCAACUAUCCCACUCCUUGAUUUAUACCCAAAGGACUUAAAGUCAGCAUACUAUAGUGACGCAGUCACAUCAAUGUUUAUAGCAGCUCAAUUCACAAUAACUAGACUAUGGAACCAACCUAAGUACCCUCAAUAGAUGAAUGGAUAAAGAAAUGUGGUCUAUAUACUCAAUGGAAUAUUACUCAGCUUUAAAGAAGAAUAAAAUUAUGGCAUUUGCCAGUAAGUGGUUGGAGUUGGAGAAUAUCAUGCUAAGCGAAAUAGACCUAUCUCACAAAACCAAAGGCUGAAUGUUUUCUCUAAUAUGCAGAUACUAAUUCACAAUAAGGCGGGAGGCACUAGGGAAGAAUAGUGUUAUCUUAGAUUAGGUAGAGAUAAGUGGUGGAAGGGGAGGGGAGGGGAUGUGGGGAUAGGAAAGAUAGUAGAACAAAACAGACAUUAUUACCGAAUGUAUUUAGGCGACUACAUGACCAAUAUGAUUCCACAACAUGUUCACUCAGAAAGAUGAGAAAUCAUAUCCCAUCUAUGUAUGACAUA
Molecule: long non-coding RNA, 2364 nt
Organism: Marmota monax (woodchuck)
Lineage: Eukaryota; Metazoa; Chordata; Mammalia; Rodentia; Sciuridae
Exons: 3
Source: RefSeq, a predicted model, not a curated record